Molecule: ribosomal RNA, 966 nt
Filed under: Hynobius leechii (Gensan salamander)
Lineage: Eukaryota; Metazoa; Chordata; Amphibia; Caudata; Hynobiidae
Description: partial 12S ribosomal RNA
Source: RNAcentral
UUUCCCUCCGUAUAUUCUCUGUCCUUCACACAAAUGUUGCCACCAUAUAUCUAUACCCUCUAAAGAUCGGUACACUUCCCCGCGACCCUCUGGGGUAUAUUCAUAAACGCCCGGCUAUUCCUCAUUGGGGUUGAGGGGGCGAACAAACUGCUUUUAACUAACAUACAAGAAAAAUUUAUCGCGAGGGUUACCCCCUACAGAUGUUCUAACAAAAACCCCACUUGCCCCAGUGAAAGCUAAGACUACGCUUACCCCUAAUUUUGAAAACCCCCCCCUGAAAACCACGAGCCACAGCUUAAAACUCAAAGGACUUGGCGGUGCUCUACACCCCCCUAGAGGGAGCUGGUUCUAUAAUUGAUACCCCUCGCUAACCUCCACCACUCAUUGCCGUUACCGCUUAUAUACCGCCGUCGUCAGCUCACCAUUUAAAUGAAGAAUAGUAGGCAUAAUGAUAAACAUAAAACCGUCAGGGUCAAGGGGUAGCGAAUUACGUGGAAAGAAAUGGGCUACAUUUUCUAAAUCAGAAAUCCAAAAAUUUUUGGAAACCCUUUUAAAGGGGGGUUUAGCGGAAAAAAAAAAAAAAGGGGUCUUUUUAAAAGGGCCAAAGAGCCGCGCCCCCCCGCCCGUCACCCUCCUAAAAAAACCUCUUUUUUUGUUUAAAAAACAUAAGGAAAGGGCUGGUUUACAUGGUGGGGCCCAAAACAAAGCCCAACUAGAGACAGGCCAGACAAACCUUUAACGGGCCGGGCCCCCCCUUAACGGGGCCGGCCCCCCUUUAACGGGGCCGCUCUCCCCUUUCUUCCUCCCUUUCCUUUCCCCUUCUCCCCCUCUCUCUCUCCUCCUCCCCCCCCUCCUCCCUCCCUCUUUUCCCUCCUUCCCCUCCUUUCUUCCCCUUUUCUCCCCUCCCUUCUCCCUUCUCUUUCUCUUUCUUUUUUCUCCUCUCUCCCUCUUCCUUUUUCCUCCUCC